GAAAUGCGAUAAGUAAUGUGAAUUGCAGAAUUCAGUGAAUCAUCGAAUCUUUGAACGCAUAUUGCGCCCCUCGGUACUCCGGGGGGCAUGCCUGUUCGAGCGUCAUUGACACCACUCAAGCCCGGCUUGGAGUUGGGCCCUCGUCCCCCCCCCGGGGGGGCGUGCCCGAAAGUUAGCGGCGGUGCAACCGGUCCUCGAGCGCAUUAGAUAUUCUUCGCUUCGAUGGUCCCGGGGGCCCCUGCCGGGCAACAGCCACGUGCCUUUAACGAUUGACCUCGGAUCAGGUAGGGAUACCCGCUGAACUUAA
This 307-nucleotide unclassified non-coding RNA is filed under the name uncultured Ascomycota. RNAcentral describes it as "sequence contains ITS1". The stretch from base 1 to 105 matches the Rfam family "5.8S ribosomal RNA", at positions 50 to 154 of the family's 154-position model. The record is from RNAcentral. Lineage: Eukaryota; Fungi; Ascomycota.